ACUCACCUGCCGAAUCAACUAGCCCUGAAAAUGGAUGGCGCUUAAGCGAGAGACCUAUACUCCGCCGUUGCGGCAUGUGCGUUGUCUAGCGCCAGGCCGUAACGAGUAGGAAGGUCGUGGCGGUUGCUUUGAAGGCUAUGAGCGUGGGCUCGGCUGGAGCUUCCGUCAGUGCAGAUCGUAAUGGUAGUAGCAAAUAUUCAAGUUCGAUCCUUGAAGACUGAAGUGGAGAAGGGUUCCACGUGAACAGUAGUUGGAUGUGGGUCAGUCGAUCCUAAGGUACUGGCGAACGCCUUGUAUCAUCGGUGGCGAAAAGCUUGCUUUUGGUCCCCGUUUGUCGAAAGGGAAUAGGGUUAAUAUUCCCUAACUGAGAUGCAAAGAUUGUGUUCUUCGGAGCACAAGCGCGGUAACGCAUUCGAACUUGGUUAGUCGCUCAAAGACCGAGCUAGAGUUUUCUUCUCUAGUUAAGGAACGGACUCCCUGGAAUUGGUUCAGCCAGAGAUGGGGACGUUGUUUCCGAAAAGCACCGCGGUUUCUGUGGUGUCUCGUGCUCUUUGAACGGCCCUUAAAACACCAAGGGAGGCUAUUAAUUUGCACUCAAUCGUACCGAUAUCCGCAUUAGGUCUCCAAGGUGAACAGCCUCUAGUCGAUAGAAUAAUGUAGGUAAGGGAAGUCGGCAAACUAGAUCCGUAACUUCGGGAAAAGGAUUGGCUCCAGUGGUUGGAACGAUUGGCCAGUUGGUUGAUGCUUGUCCGGCGCUAUUCUGUCUGCUUGAUGCUUUCGGGCUGAUGGCGGACUAGUGAUAGUGCUUGCUUGUGGACGCUUUCUGGUGUGUGCUAGGACCUCGGUUCUAGUAUCCUGAUCGCUCAUCUAAACAACCGUACUGGAACCGGUACGGACUCAGGGAAUCCGACUGUCUAAUUAAAACAGAGGUGACAGAUGGUCCUUGCGGACGCUGACUGUCACUGAUUUCUGCCCAGUGCUCUGAAUGUUAAAUCGUAGUAAUUCGAGUAAGCGCGGGUAAACGGCGGGAGUAACUAUGACUCUCUUAAGGUAGCCAAAUGCCUCGUCAUUUAAUUGUUGACGCGCAUGAAUGGAUUAACGAGAUUCCUACUGUCCCUAACUACUAUCUAGCGAAACCACAGCCAAGGGAACGGGCUUGGCAAAAAUAGCGGGGAAAGAAGACCCUGUUGAGCUUGACUCUAGUUUGACAUUGUGAAGAGUCAUGAGAGGUGUAGCAUAGGUGGGAGACUUCGGUCGCCGGUGAAAUACCACCACUUUCAUCGACUCUUUACUUAUUCGGUUAAAAGAGAAUUGGCUUCACGGCCUUUUUUCGAAGCAUUAAGCGGAGCCAUUUUAUGGCACCGUGACUCUCCUCGAAGACAGUGUCAAGCGGGGAGUUUGACUGGGGCGGUACAUCUAUCAAAUCGUAACGUAGGUGUCCUAAGGCGAGCUCAGAGAGGACGGAAACCUCUCGUAGAGCAAAAGGGCAAAAGCUUGCUUGAUCUUGACUUUCAGUACGAGUACAGACCGCGAAAGCGUGGCCUAUCGAUCCUUUUAAUCCUGAUUGUUUCAGGUAAGAGGUGUCAGAAAAGUUACCACAGGGAUAACUGGCUUGUGGCAGCCAAGCGUCCAUAGCGACGUUGCUUUUUGAUCCUUCGAUGUCGGCUCUUCCUAUCAUUGCGAAGCAGAAUUCGCCAAGCGUUGGAUUGUUCACCCACUAAUAGGGAACGUGAGCUGGGUUUAGACCGUCGUGAGACAGGUUAGUUUUACCCUACUGUUGACUUGUUAUUGCGAAAGUAAUCCUGCUUAGUACGAGAGGAACAGCGGGUUCAAACAUUUGGUUCAUAGACUUGAUCGACAGAUCAAUGGUCUGAAGCUACCAUUUGAGAGAUUAUAACUGAACGCCUCUAAGUUAGAAUCUCGCCUUGUCAAGGCGAAAAUUUCUUGCUUCCCGGUGUCGGGAGGCAUCUCUAUCUCGUGGCAACACGAGAGCUUAUGCCCUAUGUAUGGCCUUGGCUUCGUAGUGAACUCUGCGAAGCUUGCCAACGCCAGAUCACUCUGGUUCAAUGUCGGGGCGCUAAAUCACUUGCAUACGACUUGGUCUCUUGGUCAAGGUGUUGUAUUCAGUAGAGCAGUCCUCUUAUACUGCGAUCUGUUGAGACUAUCCUUUGAUUGAGUUUUUUGUUUCUUU
Molecule: ribosomal RNA, 2191 nt
Filed under: Caenorhabditis elegans
Lineage: Eukaryota; Metazoa; Nematoda; Chromadorea; Rhabditida; Rhabditidae
Also listed under: 1 other name
Description: eukaryotic LSU rRNA
Rfam family: Eukaryotic large subunit ribosomal RNA
Source: RNAcentral